GUUUAAGUUCUGAGCCUUUCACUGUCACCAAACUAAACAAGUAAUAGACAUUGAGAUUUGUCUAAACAAUGCAGUGAUGCUGCAGAUUAUGCAAGAUGUUUUGCGAGGUUUGGCAGAGACCCAGAAGUUGCACGAAUGUUUACUUGUCACGUCAUCAUCAUGGGAAUUCUCUGGACCAAGCCCUGGUUUACUCACAUCCAUCCAGUAUUUAAGGCACAGAAUCACAGAUGCUAGAGUAAAUACAGACUGUGACAUUAACUGACAAGUGACACUAACAGGACAAGAACAUCUGCUCAAGCUUUUGAUUUGCAGGAUGAAGACUUUACAUGCAAUGCUACUGAUGAUGUUUAUUGCAUCAGUCUUUUCAAAACCAUCUCGUCUGCACAAAAGAUCUGAUUCAUCAGACUCGGAGGGUUCGGAGGAAAAUGAUUCACGCGGAGGAAUCAACGAGGAUUCACAGUCGGUCGAGAAUUCUGACCAGUCUAAUGAUUCUUCUGAGGAAGUUGUGCUGAACACAAUCUCUCCAAUUCGCACAACAAGAUGAAUCAUCAGGACAGAAGACAUCACGCACCGUGUUACUGUGGAUCUGACAACUGAUAUAAUGAGCAAUAAUUAUAAUACCAAUAUAAUCUCUUGCAAUACUACUACUUAAUCAUCUUUUCAUGCAAAAAAAAAAAAAAAAAAAAAAAAAAAGUUUAAUGGUGUACAAUUCAUUAUGGUUUCCACUAAUGAUACUGAUUGACGUAACUUUAAACUUUAAAAUUAAUUACUUUUAUAUUCAGAAUAAAAAAUCUUUCAAAUGCAA
Cyprinus carpio (common carp) is the source of this 805-nucleotide long non-coding RNA. RefSeq lists it as uncharacterized. NCBI's taxonomy places the organism in Eukaryota, Metazoa, Chordata, Actinopteri, Cypriniformes, Cyprinidae. The record is from RefSeq and is a predicted model, not a curated record.